This is a long non-coding RNA of Symphalangus syndactylus (siamang), 1240 nucleotides long. RefSeq lists it as uncharacterized. The record is from RefSeq and is a predicted model, not a curated record. Lineage: Eukaryota; Metazoa; Chordata; Mammalia; Primates; Hylobatidae.
AGACAGGAUCUCACCAUGUUGCCCAAACUCCUGGCCUCCAGUGAUCCUCCCACCUCGGUCUCCCAGAGUGCUGGAAUUACAGAUGGUGCGUGGCCACGUGGGAGACAACUCAGAGUCUUUGCCACAGACACCACGGGGACACGACUCUUGCAUUUGGUGACAAAUCGCACUGCUGGUGAGAUACUGAGCUGCACUUCGCUGGGAAGGAAAGCAGAGGCUGGACCUCUGGGAUUCCCGGACACGGAGGCUCCGACAUACAAAAGGACAUAACCGGAGGGGAAAUGGCAGAGCCGGGCUCAAACCCAGGACUUCCUGAGUCUAAGCCCAAAUCCGGCCCUAGAUGAGCUGCCAUGGUACGCUGCACCCUCCAUGGCCAGAGCUUGCCUGGCCUGCUUCUUAGGUGAAGGAGGUACAGAGCUACCUUCUGCUUCCAGGCUCGGGGGUGAAAUGACCCCCUACUAAAGUCACACAGAGUAUGGAGCAGCAUCAGGACGACACGCCAAAUCGUCUGACUCCAGAGCCCUCUCUACACAGAGCUGGGAGAUAAAGUCAGGAGAGACAGCCAAAAGGAUGUGGGGAAAAUGUCCUCAGAUGGUUGGAGGUCUUGAAAAGGUCUUCCCAGAGACGCCAGCGCCUUUGAUCAGGUUGUCUUCCCAGGGACGCCAGCGCCUCGAAAAUUUCUGGUUUGGGAGAACUGCCAGCGAUGCUCCUAGAGACCUUUCAAACCUCUUUGCUAAUUCCUCUUGCCAAGAGAUGCUUGAGAGGAAAAAUUAACAUGAAUAAAAUAUCAUUGAAAGAAUCUACAGGCCGGGUGCGGUGGCUGACACCUGUAAUACCAACACUUUGGGAGGCCAAGGCAGGUGAAUCACCUGAGGUCAGAAGUUCAAGACCAGCCUGUUCAACAUGGUAAAACCCCAUCUCUACUAAAACUACAAAAAAAAAAAAUAAAAAUAAAAAAAAUAGCUGGGCGUGGUGGCGGGCGCCUGUAAUCCCAGCUACUUUGGAGGCUGAGGCAAGAGAAUCACCUGAACCCAGGAGGCAGAGGUUGCAGUGAGCCGAGAUCACACCACUGCACUCCAGCCUGGACAACAGAGCGAGACUCCAUCUCAAAAAAAAAAAAAAUCUACAGUCCAAUUUAGUGGUGGCUAGGUGACAAUGUUUUGUUGUUCAUGUUGUAGUUGCUGAUGUAUGUGCGGUUGGAAAUAAAUUCAGGAGUAGGGAAAAGGAACUGCUGCACGUG